This 253-nucleotide ribosomal RNA is filed under the name uncultured bacterium. RNAcentral describes it as "partial 16S ribosomal RNA". It matches the Rfam family "Bacterial small subunit ribosomal RNA", at positions 524 to 776 of the family's 1533-position model. The record is from RNAcentral.
UACAGAGGUCUCAAGCGUUGUUCGGAUUCAUUGGGCGUAAAGGGUGCGUAGGUGGCGCGGUAAGUCGGGUGUGAAAUUUCGGAGCUUAACUCCGAAACUGCAUUCGAUACCGCCGUGCUUGAGGACUGGAGAGGAGACUGGAAUUUACGGUGUAGCAGUGAAAUGCGUAGAGAUCGUAAGGAAGACCAGUGGCGAAGGCGGGUCUCUGGACAGUUCCUGACACUGAGGCACGAAGGCCAGGGGAGCAAACGGG